Long non-coding RNA from Helicoverpa zea (corn earworm), 723 nucleotides. RefSeq lists it as uncharacterized. Lineage: Eukaryota; Metazoa; Arthropoda; Insecta; Lepidoptera; Noctuidae. The transcript is spliced from 4 exons. The record is from RefSeq and is a predicted model, not a curated record.
ACACGACGGCGCGCGUGUGAACAGCUUGAAUGUCCGCCUGCCCGCGACGGGCUGCACGCCGCGCAGCCCGCCAGGCAGCCCGCCGGGUUGCGCGGCGCGCGUGUGAACGUAGCAUAAGAUUGGCCGAUUGCGAUAAAAACCAUAGAAAGAAGAAUAAUAACCAUAACCUCAAAGUCGAAGUUUUGUUCAAAUGUCAUUUAGUUGUUCAAAUGUCAUUGUCAUUUACUUUGUUUGGAUUACACACAUCAUGCCGAAAAUCCCGAAUCUCCGUGCAUUUGGUAAACAUUGUCACAAUUGUGGAAAGUGGAUGGAGCGAAGGGCUCUUCGUAAAGAUGGUGUGUAGUAUUUUAGUAGUGACAUGCAAUUUUUGUAAUGGCAAAAUAUUUGCAAGAGAUGGCAAACAAAAGCAAAUGUGCAGUCGAUGUGUGGAAUGCGACAACAUUAUACUCGGUCGAUAACGAAGAGUUGAAUGUUAGAACUUAUGAAAAUAUUAUUUACAACUCAUUUCGAGAAGCUGCUCAAGCAAGAGGGCUCCUUUUUGACGAUCAAGAAUGGGAAAGAUGUUUGAAUGAAGCAAUUGAUUUUAAACUUCCUCGGCAAUUAUUUCGAGUUCGAAGAUUCGAUGAUGUAAAAAUUCAAAUUAUCAAUACCACUGAACAAGGCUUGAAAGGUGAUAAAUAUUUAUCGAAAAAUGUUAUAUAUAGAGAAAUUUUGUGAAAAUCA